AAAAGUCUAUUUAAGACUCUAAUUCAUCAUUUCUUUCUCCAUAAUUUAAAUCUCUCUCCAUCAUUUGAUUUCCAUAACUCUCAGCCUCUCUUUCCCUCUGACAUUCAUUCUCGGUGAUGAUUACCAGAUCAUGGUUUGGAACUACUUAUGCACAAGUGAAGUCUAGAUUCUAUUUUCUAAAAUAUUGUCUAUAAUGUUAAAAUCGAUUUUUUCUCCCCCUUUAAUAUUCACUCAUAACGAUUGAUUUUAGAAAGGAAAGUUUCAUGUGAUAUAUCAUGUGCGUUAAAUGUCUCUUGAAAUAGGAAAUGUUGAGAACAUUUUUUUAACCUCUGGAAAUAGGAUUGGCAAAAAGGUGUUGGAGGAAUUCAAUUUUUCUGAGGAGCCUACCUCUGAAAAAUUUCGGCUGGGCAGAGCAAAUUUUUAGGCCGUUAUCGUAGACAAUUCCCUGUUACUUUAUGUUUUACAAUGACUUUAAAUAAAAGUCAGGGGCAAUCUUUAUAUCUUGUUAGAUUGUAUUUGCCAAGGCAUGUCUUUACUCAUGGGCAGCUACAUGUUGCACUUUCUAGAGUUAAAUCUAGAAAAUGGUUAAAGAUGCCCAUCAUAGAUAAAGUAGGAGUUGUAUCUAACACCACACACAAUAUCGUGUAUCAAGAUGUCUUCGAUAAUAUUUGACAUGUAAGUGCUGAUUUAUCUUACAAUUAAUUUCAAUUUAAAUUUUAUUAAUAGGAAAAUUGAUAUGGUUAUUCUUUUUAUUGUUGGCAGCAUAAAAAGACGUCAAACAGUUUAUUGAUCAUCUAAUUCGAAGGGUUAUUGGCGUUUCUAUAAGGUUCUAUAGCUCAAAUAAAUAUGCUUGAUUGACAACAAGAUCAUUUAUGCAAUUUUUAUCAUUAAUCAUGGACUACAACUUCUAAUAAACGUUCAUGUUGUUGUCAUUGGUUGUGUUUAUUUUAUUUCAAUUAUAAUGUAAUGCAUUCUUUAAAAACUUGUUUCUUAUUACUAUUCAAAU
This is a long non-coding RNA of Lotus japonicus, 1006 nucleotides long. RefSeq lists it as uncharacterized. Lineage: Eukaryota; Viridiplantae; Streptophyta; Magnoliopsida; Fabales; Fabaceae. The record is from RefSeq and is a predicted model, not a curated record. The transcript has 4 exons.